UACGUGGGGGGCUAGCGUUGUCCGGAAUCAUUGGGCGUAAAGCGCGUGUAGGCGGUCCGGUAAGUCCGCUGUGAAAGUCGGGGGCUCAACCCUCGAAUGCCGGUGGAUACUGUCGGGCUAGAGUGCGGAAGAGGCGAGUGGAAUUCCUGGUGUAGCGGUGAAAUGCGCAGAUAUCAGGAGGAACACCAAUUGCGAAGGCAGCUCGUUGGGACGUAACUGACGCUGAGACGCGAAAGCGUGGGGAGCAAACAGG
RNAcentral lists this ribosomal RNA (253 nucleotides) under uncultured bacterium. RNAcentral's name for it is "partial 16S ribosomal RNA". It matches the Rfam family "Bacterial small subunit ribosomal RNA", at positions 524 to 776 of the family's 1533-position model. The record is from RNAcentral.